GGCUGGUUUAAGGAUAGUGGAUUAUCAGAAUUUACUAACAUCAGUAUUGCUAAAGUUGGUAUACAAAUUCCCACUGCUAAAUUUGACUGGCCAAAA
Papio anubis (olive baboon) is the source of this 96-nucleotide Y RNA. It matches the Rfam family "Y RNA". From Rfam's summary of the family: Y RNAs are components of the Ro ribonucleoprotein particle (Ro RNP), in association with Ro60 and La proteins. Lineage: Eukaryota; Metazoa; Chordata; Mammalia; Primates; Cercopithecidae. The record is from Ensembl.